CUGAAUGCCAUGCGGGCUAGAAUUGCCAAACACUAUUGGAUAAUUCUUAUACUUGACAUUUCUCUGGGCCAAUCGGAAUCUUAGCAUGCUUUCCUCUGGGCCAAUCAGAAUCUUAGCACUUCCUUCAGAAUCUUGAAGACAGCGCGGUCCUUUGGAUGAGACACACCUGGCUACCGCGCAAGUCUGAUGGACACUUUUAACGUGAAGGAACCAUCUUAUUUGAGGUAAGUCAACUUUUUUGGACCAAAAACGACUACUAUUUGUUUGCUUGAUUUAAUUAGCAUUAGCUACCGCUUAUAUUGUAUUUUUAGGAACGAGUCAACGCCGAGUAAUGCACAAACGUAGACCUUGCAUAAAGUUUGCCUAUGCUUCGAGCAAAAUGACUAAUGUUCGCUAACUUAGCAGGACGAUUGUUAGCUAGGCUUAUCGUUACACGGGUGUUCUGCCCGGAGUUCCGAGAUAUACGGCUACUACUCGAAUUCUGAACUAAUGUUACCCAGAGUAACUUAUUCAUUAUGGUGGCUGUGGUGCGCGCUUGCGCAGGCAGUCAUUCGUGGUGUGGGUAAAUGUGACUGUUUACACAAUAGCUGAUGCGAGAGUAAUGUUAAAGGAAAACCCACCCUUUUUCAAUAUUUUCCUAUGUUUUUACCUCAACUUAGACUAAUUAAUACAUACCUAUCUUUUUUUCAAUGCAUGCACUUAAUCUUUCUACAUCACGUUGUGAAUGUUUUAGGAUUUAGCCUAGCCCCAUACAUUCCUGGUGGCUGUAUACCUGGUAAACAGUAAUUUUUAACAACAUAGGGCUGUUUAGAUAAAACAAUCUGGCGAGCGUGUUGUCCUAGGAUAAUACACCAACAGCCAAUUUCUGUAUAAUAAAGGGCUACAUUUUGCAUCAAAGGCUGUCAAUGAAAUCUUUACAUUGUAUUGUUAGUUGAAUUUACAUUAUGAACACUAGCACUUUGAGAUUGUUUAUUCAAUGUAAGGAGCCCUACAUAUAAAAUGCAUUAUUAUUAUAAUUAUUGAACAGAAAUGUAUUUUGAUAUUCACUGCAUAUCAGCCAAACAGUAUGGAGACACGUUGUUUUAUCAUAUUAGUCCUAUGUAUGAUAGUUUGCAAGGUUAUAUUUUAAUGAUUUUAAUUUACUUUCAGGCAAUGGUUCUGGGCACUUUGGUGGAGCACUCACUGCCAUUCACAAUGGCCCGUCAACGUCAACCUUGCGCAGACGCCGGCUGAGGACAAAGUGGCUCUGUCGCACGAAGCUUUCACGAACAUCAGCAAAAUAUAUUUUUUUCAUUUCUGUCUGUCUCUUGUUGUUUUUUAUUUCAGUGUCAUGCUUCACAACACCUCCAGGCGUUUCCGUGAGUUGUAAAUAAAAACAUUUGUAAAAUAUUAAAUGUGUCAUUCUCUUUAAGCUUCAAGGAUGUUUUAACAUUGUUUUUUGAUUAAAGUAUGCUGAUUUUUGUUAAGUCACGCUCAGAAUCAUAUUAAAAUCACAAAAAUAUAGAGCUGGGGUAACCCUUACACAAACACCCCAACCCCCAAUCCCACCCCCGUGCGUGCGACACUGUCACCUUUUUUACUCUGAGGAGUUUGCAGGUCUGUUACAUUCUUUUACAGAUAUUUCACCCACUAUUCAAGCUUAUGCAAGGUAAGUUGGCAAUACUUUAUUACAGCACACCUCACAGAUAUAUAGCAAUAAGUAUGCAUUCACAAGUGCAUCGUUUGUUUACUGUAGGUGCCAAAGCAUGAGGUGGUUAUGUAAAAAAGCUUUCAGUCAAACCGAAGACUACUGUACAGCUAUUAAUACACUUAAGUGCAUCCAACUCUAAUCAUCACUUGAUUGUGUUACAUUUUAUUUUCUUUGUUUUAGAUAAAAAAUGAUUUCAGAAGAAUCACCACAAUUUCCUUGGAGCGUACAUUCUUGUAAAAGCUGGACUUCUAUACCCCAAAACUCCUGGCUUUGUUUGAGAUGAAGGGUGGGGUUGCUGGCAUAAGAAUUAAGCAUUUGCUGGAUUCACUCAGCUAGCAAGAAGAUAGCCUUGAAGAUAGGUGAGAAGUUGUGAUUCGCUGCCUCCUAUCUUUCCUGGGAGAAUCAACUAAGGAGCUCAUUGAAGACCACCAGGAUAUCAGCAGAGACAUGAUUAAGGAUACCUUAUUCAGUCAUGUCUUUAAAAUCAUCGUACUGAGCAGAUCUGUGGAAGAAGAUGCCGGUAUGUCUGAUGUCAUCAUUGUCAUUGAGGGAACUGAGGUGCUGCUGGGAUGUAAGAAUCUCACAAAUGCAUGUCUUUCACUCACAGGCUGCAUUUACUCCCUAAACUUAAGCUGUCCCCCAAAGCUGAGAAACACAUUUGAAGUGUUUCAGAAAAUUUUUCUUGGGUUACCCCGGAUUUCCACCGACUGCGGAGCAGCUGCAGAUCAGCUCCGCUGCGUUACGUCUCCGCACUCUGCCGUCCGCCAAUACCCACCAGUUCCGUUUUUGUUGCAGAGCGGCUGCGUGCUGAAGUGACGAGGUCUCGCAAAUUCACGUGAUGAUCGCGCGAUACCUAGUUCUGUCUCUGCCCAUUAUGCCGUUGAAUUAUGACGUUUUUACAAACCAGCCCAGAUCACAACACGAGAUCUCGCAUAGACAGAGCAGUACAUCAAAUACAUCCAAAAUUCAAAAAAUAAGAAGGCUGCUAAAACAUUUAUAUAUGCUUUAUCUUUAAUGUAUUUAUUUGAAACUCCCCUGGCUCUGUUCCUGUCUAUUAUUUGUUGUUUCUGUAUUUAUGACUUUAUUUGUGUGUGUUUGUAAUGUUUGUAUUGCAAAGAUUUAAUAAAAAAACACGAGUUCUCGUGAAUUCAGGUAUGAUCACGCGAUAAAGUCAUGGCUCCGCCCUGCGGAGCUGUCCGGCAUCCGUCAAAAAUAGAAGCUCUGCGUAUUUGUGCCGGAGGGCUGCGGAUGGCCGGAGCUGUGACGGAUUCGGAGCGCAGUCAGUGGAAAUACACACAUUGACUUGAAUGGAAACCGAUUGACUCCGCCGCCGUUCCGCAACGGAUCCGCAGCCGUUCCGCAGUCGGUGGAAAUCCGGGGUUAGAUGCUUUUUAAAUUUUCUCCAAAGGUUAACUCUGCAUAGAAAGCUUCUAAUGUAAUCUGCUAGUUGGGCACUACUUGCACUUAUUGUACUGUUUUUUUUUUUUUUUUUUGAUUGUUUUGUUUUAUGCAAGAAAUGUUGUUCACAAAACAACUUCAACUACAGUACUAUUUAACAUAGCCAUUCUUAUGCAUUUUAAGUAAUACUAUUCUGCUGAAGAAUAAUUAUUUUAUUUGAUGUCUUUUUUCACUUAAUCUAAUUGAAAUUAAAAUAAGCUAAUGAAAGGCAGCUACUAGUUUGACUAUUUGCACAUUUGUUUUUGAUAUCUGCAACUGACAUUGUUGUAAUGUUUAUGUUUAAAUGUUUAUGCAUUUUAAUGGACUGUGUGGUUUACUGGAGUAAAUUCACUAUAGUGAACCAUAAAACUGAUGGAGUUUUACUAUUUGUUUUAUUUCAUGUUCCCAUCUUUAAGGAAUCUUAUAGAAAUAAAAGUAUUCAAGUAAAAUGUA
This is a long non-coding RNA of Paramisgurnus dabryanus, 3580 nucleotides long. RefSeq lists it as uncharacterized. The record is from RefSeq and is a predicted model, not a curated record. NCBI's taxonomy places the organism in Eukaryota, Metazoa, Chordata, Actinopteri, Cypriniformes, Cobitidae.